AGUGAACGCUGGCGGCGUGCUUAACACAUGCAAGUCGAACGAGAACGGGUUAUAGCUUGCUAUAAUUGUCAGCUAAGUGGCGCACGGGUGAGUAAUGUAUAGGUAAUAUGCCUCUUACUAAGGGAUAACAAAUGGAAACGUUUGCUAAUACCUUAUACUCCUUAAUAACAGAAGUUAAUAAGGGAAAGAUUUAUUGGUAAGAGAUUAGCCUGUAUUGUAUCAGUUAGUUGGUGGGGUAAUGGCUUACCAAGACUAUGACACAUAACUGGUUUGAGAGGAUGAUAAGUCACACUGGAACUGAGACACGGUCCAGACUCCUACGGGAGGCAGCAGUGGGGAAUAUUGCACAAUGGACGGAAGUCUGAUGCAGCAACGCCGCGUGGAGGAUGACACAUUUCGGUGCGUAAACUCCUUUUAUAUGAGAAGAUAAUGACGGUAUUAUAUGAAUAAGCACCGGCUAACUCCGUGCCAGCCGCCGCGGUAA
This 484-nucleotide ribosomal RNA is filed under the name uncultured bacterium. RNAcentral describes it as "partial 16S ribosomal RNA". It matches the Rfam family "Bacterial small subunit ribosomal RNA", at positions 29 to 523 of the family's 1533-position model. The record is from RNAcentral.